RNAcentral lists this ribosomal RNA (221 nucleotides) under uncultured bacterium. RNAcentral's name for it is "partial 16S ribosomal RNA". It matches the Rfam family "Bacterial small subunit ribosomal RNA", at positions 57 to 305 of the family's 1533-position model. The record is from RNAcentral.
GCAAGUCGAGCGCACUCUUCGGAGUGAGCGGCGGACGGGUUAGUAACGCGUGGGAACGUACCUUUUGCUACGGAAUAGCCCAGGGAAACUUGGAUUAAUACCGUAUACGCCCUUUGGGGGAAAGAUUUAUCGGCGAGAGAUCGGGCCCGCGUCUGAUUAGGUAGGUUGGUGGGGAAUGGCCUACCAAGCCGACGAUCAGUAGCUGGUUUGAGAGGAUGAUC